CCCUGACCCUUCUUCCAAACAUAUUCUUUUGUCUCUUGUCUUUAUUCCCGCAUUCAUCCCCCUUUGUUCAGUCCACCAGGGAUCCUGGCAGGCUGCAAGUGGUGCCUCGAACAGCAACAGAAUCUGGUGCUUUACAAGUGGCGUCCAAACACAGGGGCUUCGAGGAUGUGAAUGAAGAAUGUCUGCUAGAGCAGAGGAACUGAAAUUGACAAGGCGAAUGGGGACCCCGGGAUGAGUCUGCUGGCAGCGGAUAUAAGAGAGAAGAUCGACCAGAGUCACGACGACAUCAACCCCCAUAACCUGGGACAACUCAAGAAAACUACGCAGGAAGCUGAGAAACUACUGGAGUGUCAAGGCCAGACAAAAACCCCUGAUUCCGUGUUCUUGGCCAUGUUAGCCAUAAUAUCCUGUGCAGUAUGUUUUUCCUGUGCAGAGGCAAAAACAUAUUGGGCAUAUGUUCC
RNAcentral lists this long non-coding RNA (461 nucleotides) under Homo sapiens (human). Its description in RNAcentral is "non-protein coding lnc-BDP1-6:2". The record is from RNAcentral. Lineage: Eukaryota; Metazoa; Chordata; Mammalia; Primates; Hominidae.